This 435-nucleotide long non-coding RNA is filed under the name Brassica napus (rape). Its description in RNAcentral is "long non-coding RNA (BNAP_LNC006264)". Lineage: Eukaryota; Viridiplantae; Streptophyta; Magnoliopsida; Brassicales; Brassicaceae. The record is from RNAcentral.
UACUUGUAAACCUCAUCAGUUAUUAAUUAAUGGAGUUUUGAGUAUUCUCUCUCUACUUAUUCUCUUAAUCUCUUUAAUCUUACAUAAAACAGUAUGAUUGUUCUUAAACUUGGUUAGAAACACUCUAAUACACAAAAGUGUAUAUUUACAGCCUUAGGAUGUAGGGUUUAUGAGUGAAAUGUAAAGGCAUAUAAAAGCCUUGUAUAUGUGAUUGUAAACACUUAAGUGAGUAAGGGGGGAAACCCUUCUCCUUCAUGUUCUAUGAAAGUCUGUUCUUGAUACUAAGUCUCUAAUCUAUUCUCUAAGUCUCUCAUUCUCUUUAAUCUCGUUACCUAGUCUCUUUCAUACUCUAAAUCUCUCGUAUAACAUGGCAGAAUUACUCCUAGGAUAAUCAUCUGCCUCACCUUAUGACAAUCCACCUCUAUGUGCUUUGUU